GCCAAGACGUAAAAUUAACUCACAUACUAAAACGCCAGGGUAUUACGAGCUUAGCUUAAAACCCAAAGGACUUGACGGUACCCCACCUAACUAGAGGAGCCUGUUCUGUAAUCGAUAACCCACGAUACACCCGACCAUUUCUUGCCUUCAGCCUGUAUACCUCCGUCGUAAGCCUACCAUGUGAGCGCACAACAGUAAGCUUAAAGGUUAAACGCCACAACGUCAGGUCAAGGUGCAGCCUAUGAAAUGGAAGCAAUGGGCUACAAUUUCUAAUCUAGAACAAACAAAAUACUAUAUGAAAUAUAGCUACAAAGAAGGAUUUAGUAGUAAAUAGGGAAUAGAGAGCCCUAUUAAACUCAGCCAUGGAGUAUGU
This 373-nucleotide ribosomal RNA is filed under the name Philautus sp. FB-26. Its description in RNAcentral is "partial 12S ribosomal RNA". It matches the Rfam family "Bacterial small subunit ribosomal RNA", at positions 838 to 1384 of the family's 1533-position model. Lineage: Eukaryota; Metazoa; Chordata; Amphibia; Anura; Rhacophoridae. The record is from RNAcentral.